AUUGAACGCUGGCGGCAUGCCUUACACAUGCAAGUCGAACGGCAGCACGGGAGCAAUCCUGGUGGCGAGUGGCGAACGGGUGAGUAAUAUAUCGGAACGUGCCCAGUCGUGGGGAUAACGUAGCGAAAGCUACGCUAAUACCGCAUACGAUCUAUGGAUGAAAGCGGGGGAUCGCAAGACCUCGCGCGAUUGGAGCGGCCGAUAUCAGAUUAGGUAGUUGGUGAGGUAAAGGCUCACCAAGCCGACGAUCUGUAGCUGGUCUGAGAGGACGACCAGCCACACUGGGACUGAGACACGGCCCAGACUCCUACGGGAGGCAGCAGUGGGGAAUUUUGGACAAUGGGCGGCAAGCCUGAUCCAGCAAUGCCGCGUGCAGGA
Molecule: ribosomal RNA, 378 nt
Filed under: uncultured bacterium
Lineage: Bacteria
Description: bacterial SSU rRNA
Rfam family: Bacterial small subunit ribosomal RNA
Source: RNAcentral